This 694-nucleotide ribosomal RNA is filed under the name Eogammarus kygi. RNAcentral describes it as "eukaryotic LSU rRNA". It matches the Rfam family "Eukaryotic large subunit ribosomal RNA", at positions 315 to 664 of the family's 3401-position model. Lineage: Eukaryota; Metazoa; Arthropoda; Malacostraca; Amphipoda; Anisogammaridae. The record is from RNAcentral.
GCUAAAUAUUUCCACAGGACCGAUAGCAAACAAGUACCGUGAGGGAAAGUUGAAAAGCACUCUGAAGAGAGAGUCAAAAGACCGUGAAACCGCUCAGGGUAUAAGCCCAUGGUGAUUUGGAAGGCGUAACACAUGUGAAGGAUGCUCAAUAUUUUUGUGUUAGUCCGUCUUGUGCACGCACUUGGGAGGUCAAGAGGCGUACAUCGUUCAUACCCUCUGCGGUCGGGGAGUUGAGUUGGGAGUUGCUGGUGGCGCGUGUCAAAGCGUGUCAUCUUCGGCUCUCGCUCUUCUUCUUUGAUCGACCGUCCAGGAGGUGGAGUUGCAAGACUGUGUUACCAGCCCACCACAACACGUUGUGAGGUCACCCACAGGCUCGACUGCCGAUUGCGCAUUCACUCUCGUUCAGGCUGCGGCAGAGUCGUUACCAGGCAAGGUUCGGCGAUGCAGCUCUGUUCGGGGUGGGUCGGGCGGCGACUGAGUUCUGGUAUGAUCCUCCUGCGACGAGUUGUUUUCUGACCAGAACGGCGCGCCACGGUUGCACAUCUCGUGCUUCCGUGUCUCCUGGGGACUGGUCCACUAUCCCUUAUAAGGCGGUUUGUGCCCUCUGCAUGAGUUAAAUCAGCAAGGUCUCCGUCGCGCAGCUGUUCUGUGUGGUGUAAAGUCCAAAGCCAUCGGUCACGUCUCGAAACACGGG